GGGGAAGCAAAGGUUUCGACGGGGAUUUUUAGCGUAUGAAUAGCGGGUAGAGUGCGAGCUCUUUAAAUAUCAAAAAACAAGUUUUAAACGCAGGUAGUAAAGGUAAAGAUGAUGAUGGUGUUAUAACUCUUGAUUUCUCUGGAGCAGAUGCCAUCGCUGCGUAAGCAGCCAUCCGUUUGGCCAGGUUUACCAUGCCCUGGUUUGAACGUCAUUUAGUGGUGAACGUUGCCCGGGAGCUUUCUCGACCCGGUUGAUGAAUUAGAGGAUAUUGCAGCAGUGUUUUUUGUUUGUUGGCGCGCUGUUGCAUGAAUAACGAAAACAAACUGCACCCGGAGAGUUUUGUGCGCGUGAGUCUUCGGACAGGGGUUCGAUUCCCCUCUUCUCCACCA
Molecule: transfer-messenger RNA, 389 nt
Filed under: Oscillospiraceae bacterium
Lineage: Bacteria; Bacillati; Bacillota; Clostridia; Eubacteriales; Oscillospiraceae
Rfam family: transfer-messenger RNA
About the family: Bacterial tmRNA, also known as 10Sa RNA or SsrA, is named for its dual tRNA and mRNA-like properties. Its role is to liberate the mRNA from a stalled ribosome. To accomplish this part of the tmRNA is used as a reading frame that ends in a translation stop signal.
Source: RNAcentral